CUCUCUCUCUCUCUCUCUCUUUUCCCCAUAUUCUCACUUUCUUUUUAUCAUUUCACAUUCCUAAUUAAUUAGCAUUCCUGAGUUGUGACUCUCUCAUUGGGAAAGCUGAACUUCACCAUCAUCCAGGAAAAUUCAAUAAUGGUGAAGGAAACUGAGUAUUAUGAUGUUCUUGGUGUCAGCCCUUCUGCUUCAGAGGAUGAGAUUCGCAAAGCUUAUUAUCUUAAGGCCAGGCAAGUUCAUCCAGAUAAAAAUCCAAAUGAUCCUCAGGCUGCAGAAAGAUUUCAGGUGUUAGGUGAAGCUUAUCAAGUCUUGAGUGAUCCAGUGCAAAGAGAUGCUUAUGAUAGGAAUGGGAAGUAUUGCAUAUCAAGGGAAAGCAUGCUUGAUCCUACAGCUGUUUUUGCUCUUCUGUUCGGAAGUGAAUUAUUUGAGGACUACAUAGGACAUUUAUCUGUGGCAUCUAUGGCUUCUUCAGAAUUAGCUACUGAAAUUGACAAUCCUGAGAAAAUGCAUGAUAAAUUGAAGGCUGUUCAAAAAGAAAGAGAGGAAAAGCUUGCAAGAUUGCUUAAAGAUUUUCUUAACCAACAUGCUCGAGGUGACAAGAUAGGAUUCUUAAGGCGUGUUGAAUCUGAAGCUAAACGGCUCUCUGAUGCAGCUUUUGGAGUAGAUAUAUUACAAACUAUUGGCUACAUAUAUUCAAGACAAGCAGCACAAGAGCUUGGAAAGAAAGCAAUUUAUCUCGGGGUGCCAUUUUUGGCUGAGUGGGUUCGCAAUAAGGGCCAUUUCUGGAAGUCUCAGAUUACAGCAGCAAAAGGAGCUUUUCAGUUGCUGCAGCUUCAAGAGGAUAUCCGCAAGCAAUUUAAAAUGGAUGGAAGUGGCCCUGAAAACGACGUUGAAUCUCAUCUGCGCUCAAACAAAGAGAUACUGAUGAACUCAUUAUGGAAAUUGAAUGUGGUGGACAUUGAAGUUACCCUUGUACACGUUUGUCAAAUGGUCCUGAGGGAAAGUAAUGUUAGCAAGGAAGAACUUAAAGCCCGUGCCUUGGCUCUGAAAAUUCUUGGAAAGAUCUUUCAGCAGGAAAAGCAAGCACGAAAUGGGUCAACAUCGAAAGGAAAAAACGCUGCUGCAAUUGCUGAUGUAGAUGAUGAUGAUGGAAGCAGUUCUGAGAGCAGUAGUGAAGAGGAUUCACCAAAAGCAAUAUCAUAUAGAACUCCUUUACUUACUCAGGGCAUUGGUAGACUCUUCAGAUGCCUUUGUAAUCCAGCAUUUGAUGUGGAUGAUGAUGAGAUUGUGUACAAAAGCAAGUGAUGCUGACGCAUAGUAUGUACAUAACCAAGGUUUGACGAUAUGAAAUUUGUGUUGAGCAAGUGAUAAAGUUAGCCGAAGGCAUCUUGUUGAAAGAACUUUUAUUAUUGAUGGACAGAUUGGCGCAAGCUUCUUUGUUUUAUUUUUUCUUUUUCAUUUUUUUUUUCAUUUAAAGGCAAGAUAAGAAUACUUUCGCAAUCACAUUGUUUGGUAUCUGCUACAGCAAAAUGACUUCGUGUAUAAAGUUAGAAACCAAUUUGUUCAUUUCAUUUCAAGGGUUUGUGCUUUGGAUGUUUUUACAAUCUGUUACUGCCAACGACAGCAUGUGAGAGCUUUGCACAAAGCUUCUAAACCACAGAGAGAAGAACGUACAUGCAGAUGAAAGGUAACGAAUUAUCAACUGAAGAUGCUGAGUUUUUCCUAGAGAAGAACGUACAUGCAGAUGAAAGGUAACGAAUUAUCAACUGAAGAUGCUGAGUUUUUCCU
RNAcentral lists this unclassified non-coding RNA (1788 nucleotides) under Hevea brasiliensis (rubber tree). The record is from RNAcentral. Lineage: Eukaryota; Viridiplantae; Streptophyta; Magnoliopsida; Malpighiales; Euphorbiaceae.